CCUACGGGGGGCUGCAGUGGGGAAUAUUGGACAAUGGGGGCAACCCUGAUCCAGCCAUGCCGCGUGUGUGAAGAAGGCCCUCGGGUUGUAAAGCACUUUCAGCGAGGAAGAACGCCUGGUGGUUAAUACCCAUCAGGAAAGACAUCACUCACAGAAGAAGCACAGGCUAACUCCGUGCCAGCAGCCGCGGUAAUACGGAGGGUGCGAGCGUUAAUCGGAAUUACUGGGCGUAAAGCGCGCGUAGGUGGCUUGAUAAGCCGGUUGUGAAAGCCCCGGGCUCAACCUGGGAACGGCAUCCGGAACUGUCAAGCUAGAGUGCAGGAGAGGAAGGUAGAAUUCCCGGUGUAGCGGUGAAAUGCGUAGAGAUCGGGAGGAAUACCAGUGGCGAAGGCGGCCUUCUGGACCGACACUGACACUGAGGUGCGAAAGCGUGGGUAGCAAACAGGAUUAGAUACCCGUGUAGUC
RNAcentral lists this ribosomal RNA (465 nucleotides) under Vreelandella stevensii. RNAcentral's name for it is "partial 16S ribosomal RNA". It matches the Rfam family "Bacterial small subunit ribosomal RNA", at positions 338 to 795 of the family's 1533-position model. Lineage: Bacteria; Pseudomonadati; Pseudomonadota; Gammaproteobacteria; Oceanospirillales; Halomonadaceae. The record is from RNAcentral.